GACGAACGCUGGCGGCGUGCCUAAUACAUGCAAGUAGAACGCUGAAGGAAGAACUUGCGUCUCCGGGUGAAUUGCGAACGGAUGAGUAACGCGUACGUGACCUGCCUGGUAACGGGGGAUAACUAUUGCAAACGAUUGCUAAUACCGCCUAAGAGUGGAUGUUGAAUGACAUUUGCUUAUGAGGUGCCCUUGCAUCACUACCAGAUGGACCUGCGAUGAAUUAGCUAGUGGGUGGGGUAACGGCUCACCCAGGCGACUAUACAUAGCCGACCUGGAAGGGUGAUCGGCCUCACUGGGACUGACACACCGCACACACUCCUACGGGAGGCAGCAGUAAGGAAUCUUCGGGAAUGGACGGAAGACUGACCCAUCACCGCCGCGUGAGUGAAGAAUGCUUUCGGAUCGUAACGCUCUGUUGUAAGAAAAGAACAAGUGUGAGAGUGGAAAGUUCACACUGUGACGGUAUCUUAACACAAAGGGACGGUUAACUACGUGCCACCAGCCGCGGUAAUACGUACGACCCGAGCGCUGACCGGAUUUAUUGAGCGUAAAGCGAGCGCAGGCGGUUAGAUAAGUCUGAAGUUAACGGCUGUGGCUUAACCAUAGUAUGCUUUAGAGACUGUUUAACUUGAAUGCAAGAGGGGAGAGUGGAAUUCCAUGUGUAGCGGUGAAAUGCGUAUAUAUAUGGAGGAACACCGGUGGGGAAAGCGGCUCUCUGGCUUGUAACUGACGCUGACGCUCGAAAGCGUGGGGAGCAAACAGGAUUAGAUACCCUGGUAAUCCACGCUGUAAACCAUGAGUGGUAGGUGUUAGACCCUUUCCGGCUGUGUAGUCCGGUAUCUAACGCAUUAACCACUCCGCCUGGGGAGUACGACCGCAGGGUUGAAAUUCAAAGGAAUUGACGGGGGCCCGCACAAGCGGUGGACCAUGUGGUUUAAUUGGAAGCAACGCAAAAAACCUUACCAUGUCUUGACAUCCCUCUGACCACUCUAGAGAUAGAGUUUUCCUUCGGGACAGAGAGUGACAGGUGGUGCAUGGUUGUCCUCAUCUCGUGUCGUGAGAUGUUGGGUUAAGCCCCGCAACGAGCGCAACCCCUAUUGUUAGUUGCCAUCAUUUAGUUGGGCACUCUAGCGAGACUGCCGGUAAUAAACCGGAGGAAGGUGGGGAUGACGUCAAAUCAUCAUGCCCCUUAUGACCUGGGCUACACACGUGCUACAAUGACUGGUACAACGAGUAGCAAGCCGGUGACGGCAAGCUGAUCUCUUAAAGCCAGUCUCAGUUCGGAUUGUAGUCUGCAACUCGCCUACAUGAAGUCGGAAUCGCUAGUAAUCGCGGAUCAGCACGCCGCGGUGAAUACGUUCCCGGGCCU
This 1369-nucleotide ribosomal RNA is filed under the name uncultured bacterium. Its description in RNAcentral is "bacterial SSU rRNA". It matches the Rfam family "Bacterial small subunit ribosomal RNA", at positions 28 to 1381 of the family's 1533-position model. The record is from RNAcentral.